This 222-nucleotide ribosomal RNA is filed under the name uncultured bacterium. RNAcentral describes it as "partial 16S ribosomal RNA". It matches the Rfam family "Bacterial small subunit ribosomal RNA", at positions 328 to 539 of the family's 1533-position model. The record is from RNAcentral.
ACGCUCGACACCUACGGGGGCAGCAGUAGGGAAUUUUCGGCAAUGGGGGGAACCCUGACCGAGCAACGCCGCGUGAAGGAAGAAGGAAUUCGUUCUGUAAACUUCUGUUAUAAAGGAAGAACGGCGGAUAUAGGGAAUGAUAUCCGAGUGACGGUACUUUAUGAGAAAGCCACGGCUAACUACGUGUCAGCAGCCGCGGUAAUCUGAGCGGGCUGGCAAGGC